UCGAUAUGGUUAGUUGUAAAUUAUGCAAUUCAGCUCCAGGGCUGCAGUGUAAAUUUCUUAUUAAAUUUAUCUAUCUAUUUAGUACUAAACAAAUGGGCUGUGUAACUCAGUUGAUUCGAGCCUGCGCCGGAAUUGCAGGAUUACAGGUUCAAUUCCUACCAGAGGACGUACACAUAUGCCAAUUAGGUAAAUGCAUGAAUGCAGAAAAUGAAAGUUUCAACAGCUAUUUAGAGAAAUGGAAAUUGAGCAAUUUUUUUUUUUUUGAUAUUGGACGAUUAAUAAAACACAUUACAAAUUUCUCGCCUAUGAACUCAAAAUUCGUUUUAAACUUUUAAAUUUCGUGCGCAAGCUAUUUUUAAUGCUGCUAAAAAAGACACCCCCCUGCUCUGGAAAUUGUUUAUUCUAUAUUAUAAGUACCCAAACAAUCUAUAUUUAAAAAAAAUAUCAUGACAUCAGCAGAUUUGUGAAAUUGAGAACUGUUUCAAAAUUGUCUACUUUUUUUCUGAUACACCCUGACUUUGUAGAGUAUUCGAUGUAUUGUUGAUUAGGAUUACACUUUGCACGAAAUACUUCUAUAAUUUCUCUUUUGUAGGUCACCAGUUAUGGCUGGGGGACUCUUUGCAAUCAGUAAGCGUUUUUUUGACAAACUUGGUCAAUAUGAUCCAGGCAUGGAGGUGUGGGGCGGUGAACAAUAUGAAUUAUCGUUUAAG
Molecule: non-coding RNA, 710 nt
Organism: Paramuricea clavata
Lineage: Eukaryota; Metazoa; Cnidaria; Anthozoa; Malacalcyonacea; Plexauridae
Source: the annotation of a GenBank genome assembly